UACGUAGGGGGCAAGCGUUGUCCGGAAUCAUUGGGCGUAAAGAGCGUGUAGGCGGCCAGGUAGGUCGGUUGUGAAAACUGGAGGCUCAACCUUCAGAGGUCGACCGAAACCAUCUGGCUAGAGUCCGGGAGAGGAGAGUGGAAUUCCUGGCGUAGCGGUGAAAUGCGCAGAUAUCAGGAGGAACACCGAUGGCGAAGGCAGGUCUCUGGGCCACUACUGACGCUGAGAAGCGAAAGCAUGGGGAGCGAACAGG
Molecule: ribosomal RNA, 253 nt
Filed under: uncultured bacterium
Lineage: Bacteria
Description: partial 16S ribosomal RNA
Rfam family: Bacterial small subunit ribosomal RNA
Source: RNAcentral